RNAcentral lists this ribosomal RNA (290 nucleotides) under Limnoraphis hieronymusii K81. RNAcentral's name for it is "partial 16S ribosomal RNA". It matches the Rfam family "Bacterial small subunit ribosomal RNA", at positions 491 to 780 of the family's 1533-position model. Lineage: Bacteria; Bacillati; Cyanobacteriota; Cyanophyceae; Oscillatoriales; Sirenicapillariaceae. The record is from RNAcentral.
CCUCGGCUAACUCCGUGCCAGCAGCCGCGGUAAUACGGAGGAGGCAAGCGUUAUCCGGAAUGAUUGGGCGUAAAGCGUUCGUAGGUGGCUAUUCAAGUCUGCUGUCAAAGACUGAAGCUCAACUUCUGAAAGGCAGGGGAAACUGAUUAGCUGGAGUGCGGUAGGGGCAGAAGGAAUUCCCGGUGUAGCGGUGAAAUGCGUAGAGAUCGGGAAGAACACCGGUGGCGAAAGCGCUCUGCUGGGCCGCAACUGACACUGAGGGACGAAAGCUAGGGGAGCGAAUGGGAUUA